GCAUAUCAAUAAGCGGAGGAAAAGAAACUAACAAGGAUUCCCCUAGUAACUGCGAGUGAAGCGGGAAAAGCUCAAAUUUAAAAUCUGACAGUCUUUGGCUGUCCGAGUUGUAGUCUGGAGAAGCGCUUUCCGUGCUGGACCGUGUACAAGUCUUCUGGAACGGAGCGUCAUAGAGGGUGAGAAUCCCGUCUUUGACACGGACUACCAGUGCUUUGUGAUGCGCUCUCAAAGAGUCGAGUUGUUUGGGAAUGCAGCUCAAAAUGGGUGGUAAACUCCAUCUAAAGCUAAAUAUUGGCGAGAGACCGAUAGCGAACAAGUACCGUGAGGGAAAGAUGAAAGGACUUUGGAAGAGAGUUAAACAGUACGUGAAUGCUGAAAGGAAACGCUUGAAUCAGUCGCGUUGGCUAGAAUUCAGCCUGGCUUUUGCUUGGUAUAUUUCUAGUGAACGGGCCAGCAUCAUUUUUGGCUGCGGGAAAAAGGUCUCAGGAAUGUGGCACCUUCGGGUGUGUUAUAGCCUGGGAUCGUAUGCCGUGGCUGGGAGUGAGGAACUCAGCACGCCUUUUUGGCGGGGCUUCGGCCACCUUCGUGCUUAGGAUGCUGGCGUAAUGGCUUUAAACGACCCGUCUUGAAACACGGACCAAGGAGUCUAACAUGCCUGCGAGUGUUUGGGUGGUAAACCCGAGCGCGCAAUGAAAGUGAUAGUUGGGACCUCUAUCAAUGGAGGGCACCGACGCCCGGACCAGACCUUCUGUGACGGAUCCGCGGUAGAGCAUGUAUGUUGGGACCCGAAAGAUGGUGAACUAUGCCUGAAUAGGGUGAAGCCAGAGGAAACUCUGGUGGAGGCUCGUAGCGAUUCUGACGUGCAAAUCGAUCGUCAAAUUUGGUAUAGGGCGAAAGACUAAUCGACCAUCUAGUA
RNAcentral lists this ribosomal RNA (916 nucleotides) under Phanerochaete deflectens. Its description in RNAcentral is "partial large subunit ribosomal RNA". It matches the Rfam family "Eukaryotic large subunit ribosomal RNA", at positions 38 to 949 of the family's 3401-position model. Lineage: Eukaryota; Fungi; Basidiomycota; Agaricomycetes; Polyporales; Phanerochaetaceae. The record is from RNAcentral.